GUGGUAGGGGAGCGUUCUGUAAGCCGAUGAAGGUGUAUUGAGAAGUAUGCUGGAGGUAUCAGAAGUGCGAAUGCUGACGUGAGUAACGACAAAACGGGUGAAAAACCCGUUCGCCGAAAGACCAAGGGUUCCAGUCCAACGUUAAUCGGGGCUGGGUGAGUCGACCCCUAAGGCGAGGCCGAAAGGCGUAGUCGAUGGGAAAAUGGUUAAUAUUCCAUUACUUCUGUGUAAUGCGAUGAGAGGACGGAGAAGGCUAAAUCAGCCUGGCGUUGGUUGUCCAGGUGAAAGGAUGUAGGCAUGUAUCUUAGGCAAAUCCGGGGUACUCUAUGCUGAGAUCUGAUAGCAAGCUGUACUUGUACAGCGAAGUGGUUGAUGCCAUGCUUCCAGGAAAAGUCUCUAAGCUUCAGUUACACAGGAAUCGUACCCGAAACCGACACAGGUGGUCAGGUCGAGUAGACCAAGGCGCUUGAGAGAACUCUGCUGAAGGAACUAGGCAAAAUGGUACCGUAACUUCGGGAGAAGGUACGCUGUUGUUGGUGAUGGAACUCGCUUCCUGAGCUGACGACAGCCGCAGAAACCAGGCCGCUGCAACUGUUUAUUAAAAACAUAGCACUCUGCAAACACGAAAGUGGACGUAUAGGGUGUGAUGCCUGCCCGGUGCUGGAAGGUUAAUUGAUGGGGUUAGCGUAAGCGAAGCUCUUGAUCGAAGCCCCAGUAAACGGCGGCCGUAACUAUAACGGUCCUAAGGUAGCGAAAUUCCUUGUCGGGUAAGUUCCGACCUGCACGAAUGGCAUAAUGAUGGCGGCGCUGUCUCCAGCAGAGGCUCAGUGAAAUCGAAAUCGCUGUGAAGAUGCAGUGUACCCGCGGCUAGACGGAAAGACCCCGUGAACCUUUACUGCAGCUUGACACUGAACUUUGACCUUACUUGUGUAGGAUAGGUGGGAGGCUUUGAAGCUGGAACGCUAGUUCCAGUGGAGCCGUCCUUGAAAUACCACCCUGGUAAUGUUGAGGUUCUAACUCUGUCCCGUGAUCCGGGACGAGGACCGUGUCUGGUGGGUAGUUUGACUGGGGCGGUCUCCUCCUAAAGAGUAACGGAGGAGUACGAAGGUGCGCUCAGCGUGGUCGGAAAUCACGCGUAGAGUAUAAAGGCAAAAGCGCGCUUAACUGCGAGACCCACAAGUCGAGCAGGUACGAAAGUAGGUCUUAGUGAUCCGGUGGUUCUGUAUGGAAGGGCCAUCGCUCAACGGAUAAAAGGUACUCUGGGGAUAACAGGCUGAUACCGCCCAAGAGUUCAUAUCGACGGCGGUGUUUGGCACCUCGAUGUCGGCUCAUCUCAUCCUGGGGCUGAAGCAGGUCCCAAGGGUAUGGCUGUUCGCCAUUUAAAGAGGUACGCGAGCUGGGUUUAGAACGUCGUGAGACAGUUCGGUCCCUAUCUACCGUGGGCGCUGGAAAUUUGAGAGGAUCUGCUCCUAGUACGAGAGGACCAGAGUGGACGAACCUCUGGUGUACCGGUUGUGACGCCAGUCGCAUCGCCGGGUAGCUAUGUUCGGAAGGGAUAACCGCUGAAAGCAUCUAAGCGGGAAGCCUACCUCAAGAUAAGAUUUCCCUAGGACUUUAUGUCCUCUAAAGAGCCGUUCGAGACUAGGACGUUGAUAGGUUGGAUGUGGAAGCAUAGUGAUAUGUGAAGCUGACCAAUACUAAUUGCUCGUGAGGCUUGACUAU
RNAcentral lists this ribosomal RNA (1722 nucleotides) under Acinetobacter baumannii. RNAcentral describes it as "bacterial LSU rRNA". It matches the Rfam family "Bacterial large subunit ribosomal RNA", at positions 1225 to 2925 of the family's 2925-position model. RNAcentral also lists the same sequence under 6 other names. The record is from RNAcentral. Lineage: Bacteria; Pseudomonadati; Pseudomonadota; Gammaproteobacteria; Moraxellales; Moraxellaceae.